RNAcentral lists this ribosomal RNA (1505 nucleotides) under Rickettsiales bacterium. RNAcentral's name for it is "bacterial SSU rRNA". It matches the Rfam family "Bacterial small subunit ribosomal RNA". The record is from RNAcentral. Lineage: Bacteria; Pseudomonadati; Pseudomonadota; Alphaproteobacteria; Rickettsiales.
AAACUUAAGAGUUUGAUCCUGGCUCAGAACGAACGCUGGCGGCAGGUCUUAGGCAUGCAAGUCGAACGCAUGAAGAUUUGUAGCAAUACAGGUUGAAUUGAGUGGCGCACGGGUGAGUAACGCGUGGGAACAUACCCUUUGCUGGGGGAUAACAGUUGGAAACGACUGCUAAUACCGCAUAAGCCGGAAACGGGAAAGAAUUUCGGCAAAGGAUUGGCCCGCGUAAGAUUAGCUUGUUGGUGGGGUAACGGCCUACCAAGGCGAUGAUCUUUAGCCGGUCUGAGAGGACGAUCGGCCACACUGGGACUGAGACACGGCCCAGACUCCUACGGGAGGCAGCAGCUAAGAAUAUUGGACAAUGGGGGAAACCCUGAUCCAGCCAUGCCGCGUGAAUGAAGAAGGCCUUCGGGUUGUAAAGUUCUUUUAGUCGUGAUGAUGAUGACGGUAGCGACAGAAAAAGCACCGGCUAACUUCGUGCCAGCAGCCGCGGUAAUACGAAGGGUGCAAGCGUUGUUCGGAUUUACUGGGCGUAAAGCGUCCGCAGGUGGUUUGUUAAGUCGGGGGUGAAAUCCCAGGGCCCAACCCUGGAACUGCCUUCGAUACUGGCAAGCUAGAGCGUGAUAGAGGAAAGCGGAAUAUCGGGUGUAGAGGUGAAAUUCGUAGAUAUCCGAUGGAACACCAAUGGCGAAGGCAGCUUUCUGGAUCAUUGCUGACACUCAGGGACGAAAGCGUGGGGAGCAAACAGAAUUAGAUACUCUGGUAGUCCACGCCCUAAACGAUGCGCGCUUGUUGUUGGCCCCCUUCGGGAGGUCAGUGACGAAGCUAACGCGUUAAGCGCGCCGCCUGGGGAGUACGAUCGCAAGAUUAAAACUUAAAGGAAUUGACGGGGACCCGCACAAGCGGUGGAGUAUGUUGUUUAAUUCGACGCUACGCGAGAAACCUUACCGACUCUUGACAUCCCGGUCGCGGCUUUUAGAGAUAGAAGCUUUCAAUUCGGUUGGACCGGUGACAGAUGCUGCAUGGUUGUCGUCAGCUCGUGCCGUGAGGUGUUAGGUUAAGUCCUGCAACGAGCGCAACCCUUGUCCUUUGUUGCCAUCGGGUUAUGCCGGGCACUCUAAGGAGACCGCUGCGGUUAACGCAGAGGAAGGUGGGGAUGACGUCAAAUCAUCAUGGUUCUUACGAGUCGGGCUACAAACGUACUACAAUGGCUACAACAAUGGGUCGCAACACAGCGAUGUGGAGCUAAUCCUUAAAAGUGGCCUCAGUUCAGAUUGCACUCUGCAACUCGAGUGCAUGAAGUUGGAAUCGCUAGUAAUCGCUGAUCAGAAUGCAGCGGUGAAUACGUUCCCGGGUCUUGUACACACCGCCUGUCAAACCAUGAAAGUCGAUUUCACCCGAAGACGGUAGGCUAACGCAAGAGGCCGCCGGCUACGGUGGGGUUGGUGAUUGGGGUUAAGUCAUAACAAGGUAGCAGUACGGGAACGUGCGGCUGGAUCACCUCCUUU